Molecule: ribosomal RNA, 446 nt
Filed under: uncultured bacterium
Lineage: Bacteria
Description: partial 16S ribosomal RNA
Rfam family: Bacterial small subunit ribosomal RNA
Source: RNAcentral
CCUACGGGUGGCAGCAGUCGAGAAUCAUUCACAAUGGGGGAAACCCUGAUGGUGCGACGCCGCGUGGGGGAAUGAAGGUCUUCGGAUUGUAAACCCCUGUCAUGUGGGAGCAAAUUAAAAAGAUAGUACCACACGAGGAAGAGACGGCUAACUCCGUGCCAGCAGCCGCGGUAAUACAGAGGUCUCAAGCGUUGUUCGGAAUCACUGGGCGUAAAGCGUGCGUAGGCUGUUUCGUAAGUCGUGUGUGAAAGGCGCGGGCUCAACCCGCGGACGGCACAUGAUACUGCGAGACUAGAGUAAUGGAGGGGGAACCGGAAUUCUCGGUGUAGCAGUGAAAUGCGUAGAUAUCGAGAGGAACACUCGUGGCGAAGGCGGGUUCCUGGACAUUAACUGACGCUGAGGCACGAAGGCCAGGGGAGCGAAAGGGAUUAGAUACCCUUGUAGUC